Long non-coding RNA from Cicer arietinum (chickpea), 389 nucleotides. RefSeq lists it as uncharacterized. The record is from RefSeq and is a predicted model, not a curated record. Lineage: Eukaryota; Viridiplantae; Streptophyta; Magnoliopsida; Fabales; Fabaceae.
AAAAAAAAAAAAAAAAAAAAUUAAUAACAUUACAUGCAGGUCUGCUGAAAAUAAUCAUGAAAAAUUUUAAUUUUAGAAGGAAAGUUGGCAGCAAAACAUCCUUGUUACUAUGUGGUGAUCACAGAUUUUUAGCAGAAUCAGACUUUGGAAUAGAGAAGUUGCUCCUUACCCUUUCAUGGGAUGAACUAUGAAGGCCUUUUACAUCUUACCCUGAAACUACACUCCUUUUUAUGAGUUGGGGUAUGCAACUAUGGAAGGAUGAAUAUUUCAUGUAUUCUCUUCGUAAAUAAAUUACAUUUUUCCAUCUUAUUUGGAUUGCCACUUUAACUUGUUUGAUAUGGUUAAAUAAAUUUAAGAACAUAAUAAAUUUACAAAAUGGUAUUGGUUAA